UUAAAAAGCUCGUGGUUGGAUUUCUGCGGGGGCGGGGCGGCCGGUUGCUUAUAGCAACUCGAGCUAGCACUUCCCCUGCAUCCUGCCGCGAACCGUGCUACCAUUAGUUUGGUGGCGCCGGGGAUCGGCUCGUUUACUUUGAGAAAAAUAGAGUGUUCAAAGCAGGCCACACGCCUUGAAUAAGUUAGCAUGGAAUAAUGAUAAAGGACUUCGGUUCUAUUUUGUUGGUGUUCGGGACUGAAGUAAUGAUUGAUAGGGACAGUUGGGGCGGUUCGUAUUCCAAAGCGAGAGGUGAAAUUCUUAGACCUUCGGAAGACGAACAGCUGCGAAAGCGUUCCGCAAGGAUGUUCCCUUUGAUCAAGAACGAAAGUUGGGGGAUCGAAGACGAUCAGAUACCGUCGUAGUCUCAACUAUAAACUAUACCAGCUAGGGAUCGGCCAACGUUUAAUUACACCGACUUGGUCGGCACCUUAUGAGAAAUCAAAGCAUCUGGGUUCCGGGGGGAGUAUGGUCGCAAGGCUGAAACUUAAAGGAAUUGACGGAAGGGCACCACCAGCCGUGGAGCCUGCGGCUUAAUUUGACUCACACGGGAAAACUUACCAGGUCCAGACAUAGUAAGGAUUGACAGAUUGAUAGCUC
This 639-nucleotide ribosomal RNA is filed under the name uncultured marine eukaryote. RNAcentral's name for it is "SSU rRNA". It matches the Rfam family "Eukaryotic small subunit ribosomal RNA", at positions 619 to 1257 of the family's 1831-position model. The record is from RNAcentral.